AGAGUUUUAGUUUAUUUAAAACAUAUAUUUGUCAAAUAUAAAAUACCAAUAAGGUAAACACUA
RNAcentral lists this transfer RNA (63 nucleotides) under Laeonereis culveri. RNAcentral's name for it is "tRNA-Asp". The record is from RNAcentral. Lineage: Eukaryota; Metazoa; Annelida; Polychaeta; Phyllodocida; Nereididae.